This 410-nucleotide ribosomal RNA is filed under the name uncultured bacterium. RNAcentral describes it as "bacterial SSU rRNA". It matches the Rfam family "Bacterial small subunit ribosomal RNA", at positions 362 to 770 of the family's 1533-position model. The record is from RNAcentral.
UAUUGGUCAAUGGCCGGAAGGCUGAACCAGCCAAGCCGCGUGAGGGAGGAAGGCGCAGAGCGUCGCAGACCUCUUUUGCCGGGGGACAAAAGGCCGGACGUGUCAGGUCCUGAGGGUACCCGGAGAAAAAGCAUCGGCUAACUCCGUUCCAGCAGCCGCGGUAAUACGGGGGAUGCGAGCGUUAUCCGGAUUUAUUGGGUUUAAAGGGUGCGCAGGCGGUUUGUUAAGUCAGCGGUCAAAGCCCGGGGCUCAACCCCGGCCCGCCGUUGAAACUGGCAGUCUCGAGUUGGAGAGAAGUAUGCGGAAUGCGCGGUGUAGCGGUGAAAUGCAUAGAUAUCGCGCAGAACUCCGAUUGCGAAGGCAGCAUGCCGGCUCCACACUGACGCUGAGGCGCGAAAGCGUGGGUAUCG